Molecule: ribosomal RNA, 253 nt
Filed under: uncultured bacterium
Lineage: Bacteria
Description: partial 16S ribosomal RNA
Rfam family: Bacterial small subunit ribosomal RNA
Source: RNAcentral
UACGUAGGGUGCAAGCGUUGUCCGGAAUUAUUGGGCGUAAAGAGCUCGUAGGCGGUUUGUCGCGUCUGCUGUGAAAACUCGGGGCUUAACUCCGGGACUGCAGUGGGUACGGGCAGACUAGAGUGCGGUAGGGGAGAGUGGAAUUCCUGGUGUAGCGGUGAAAUGCGCAGAUAUCAGGAGGAACACCGGUGGCGAAGGCGGGUCUCUGGGCCGUAACUGACGCUGAGGAGCGAAAGCGUGGGGAGCGAACAGG